AGGGGUCACAACGAUGCCUGUCGCCUGCAAGUAUGAGGAGAUGUAGGUGCCAGAGGUAUGGACACCAAAGGCUUUCAUCUGCUCAUCUCAUUAAUAAAGUGUGUGUUUUUCCAUAGUAGUUUAACUGACUCGUUUCUUUUCUAACAUGCCAUCUUCUUCUAAUUUGUGAGGUGCAUAAGAAGAGUAUGCUGUGUGACUGCUUCUGCGCAGGUCGUGGCGGCGAGUUCACUGCGCCUCGACCACAGUGGUGGUGCUAUCUCGGUUUUGGCUACAAUUCUGUCAGGGCAAGGAGACCGACUAAAUGACAGAACCAGUAGGUGUAGUACUUAAGCUGGAUUACCUAGGGACAACUGAGAGACAUGUAUCAGUUCUUCUUUGCUUAUAAGCAUCAGCUGAGCAAUGGGCAUGGAGGACGACUUAAUGGCAGACAAGAUGGAACCAGUACUUAAUCCGGAGUAC
Lolium rigidum is the source of this 459-nucleotide long non-coding RNA. RefSeq lists it as uncharacterized. The transcript has 3 exons. Lineage: Eukaryota; Viridiplantae; Streptophyta; Magnoliopsida; Poales; Poaceae. The record is from RefSeq and is a predicted model, not a curated record.